UACAGAGGGUGCGAGCGUUGUCCGGAAUCAUUGGGCGUAAAGAGCGUGUAGGCGGCUCGGUAAGUCCGCUGUAAAAGUCAAAGGCUCAACCUUUGAAUGUCAGUGGAUACUGCCGGGCUAGAGUCCGGAAGAGGCGAGUGGAACUCCUGGUGUAGCGGUGGAAUGCGCAGAUAUCAGGAAGAACACCAACGGCGAAGGCAGCUCGCUGGGACGGUACUGACGCUGAGACGCGAAAGCGUGGGUAGCAAACAGG
Molecule: ribosomal RNA, 253 nt
Filed under: uncultured bacterium
Lineage: Bacteria
Description: partial 16S ribosomal RNA
Rfam family: Bacterial small subunit ribosomal RNA
Source: RNAcentral